CCCGGAACUGCGGUCGGCGCUGCAGCUGAGGGAGCAAGGGGGAGGUGUGCGCCGCGGUUGGCCGGCGUGUGAGGGAGCCGCGACGGCGUUUCCACGCGGUAUUAUUGGGUCCCUCUCCCCUAUUUAAAAGGUGAGAGCACUGAGGUUCGGGGAGGAUUAAACACCACUGUCCGGGGACACAGAAGCACAACCAUGAAGUUGAAGGAGACAAAAUCAAGGCCAAAGCCACCAAGCUAUGGCAAAUUCCAGACAAAGGGAAUCAGAGUUGUGGGAAAGUGGAAGCAGGUGGAGAUUGACCCAAAUAUGUUUGCAGAUGGACAGAUGGAUGACUUGGUGUGCUUUGAGGAACUGACAGAUUACCGGUUGGUCUCCCCUGCCAAGAAUUCCUCCAGUCUCUUCUCAAAGGAGGAGCCCAAGAAGAGAAAGGCGCAAGCUGUUUCCGGAAAGGAAGAAGGAGAGUCCAGCUCCUCAAAGAAAAAGAUGAAGUUCAAGAAGAAUAAAGACAUGGAAACUGAAGGAAUCAGUGUCCAGAAAGAGUUUGAAGUCAAAGAUGCUGAGCCAGAGCCCCAGGGAGAUGACACGGUUUGUCCUGAUCCACAGGUAGAGAAGAUGGUAUCAGAAAGCUCAGCCCCGACUGUUCCAAAAAAGAAAAAAAAGAAAGGGAAAAAAAACUUGGAGCCAUCCCAGGGUACUACUCCAAAGGUGCCCAAAAAAGCAAAGACAUGGAUGCCUGAAAUGCAUGACCAGAAGGCAGAUGUAACAGCUUGGAAAGAUCUAUUUGUACCCAAGCCAGUUCUCCGAGCACUCAGCUUUCUAGGCUUCUCUGCACCCACACCAAUCCAAGCUCUGACCUUGACACCUGCCAUCCGUGACAAACUGGACAUCCUUGGGGCUGCUGAGACAGGAAGCGGAAAAACUCUUGCCUUUGCCAUUCCAAUGAUCCAUGCAAUACUGCAGUGGCGGGUGAAGAAGAAGCCUACUCCAGCUCCAAGUAACAAAGGAGCAUUACCUGGUGAGACCAGAACCGAGGCUGGAACUGAGUCUGGAGUUUUGCCCGAUGAGAUUGGAAUUGAGGGUGAAGUCCUGCCCAGUGAAGCUGAAGUGAAGGCUGCAACACCACCUAGCAAGGUCAAGACUGGAGCUGCUCUCUCAGACCAGGUGCUGCCCUUCUGUGAUGAUGAUGCUGGUGAAGGGCCUUCUUCUCUGAUCAGGGAGAAGGCCAUCCCCGAACAGGAUGAAGACAAAGAGGAAAAGCUUGAUGAAGAGGAGACUGGAAGGUGGAAGCAAGAGUUGGGUGGCAAAAUCGCCACCUGUAAAGCACAUCCAAAGCGCCCUCUGCUUGGUCUGGUUCUGACUCCCACUAGGGAGCUCGCUGUCCAGGUCAAGCAACACAUUGAUGCUGUGGCCAAGUUUACAGGAAUUAAAACUGCUAUUUUGGUUGGUGGAAUGUCUGCGCAGAAACAGCAGAGGAUGCUAAACCGCCAGCCAGAGAUUGUGGUUGCCACUCCGGGCCGGCUGUGGGAGCUAAUUAAAGAAAAGCACCCUCAUUUGAGCAACCUUAGGCAGCUCAGGUGCCUGGUGGUCGAUGAGGCUGAUCGGAUGGUUGAGAAAGGCCACUUUGCUGAGCUCUCACAGCUGCUAGAGAUGCUCAGUGACUCCCAGUACAACCCAAAGAGACAGACGCUUAUUUUUUCUGCCACACUGACCCUGGUACAUCAAGCUCCUGCUCGAAUCCUUCACAAGAAGCACACUAAGAAAAUUGACAAAACUGCCAAACUUGACCUCCUCGUGCAGAAGAUUGGCAUGAGGGGCAAGCCCAAGGUCAUUGACCUCACCAGAAAUGAGGCCACAGUGGAGACACUGACAGAGACCAAGAUUCAUUGUGAGACUGAUGAGAAAGACUUAUAUCUGUAUUACUUCCUGAUGCAGUAUCCAGGCCGCACCUUAGUGUUUGCCAACAGUAUCUCCUGCAUCAAACGCCUCUCUGGGCUCCUCAAAGUCCUGGAUAUCAUGCCGCUGACACUACAUGCCUGCAUGCACCAGAAGCAGAGGCUCAGAAACCUGGAGCAGUUUGCCCGUCUGGAAGACUGUGUUCUCCUGGCAACUGAUGUGGCGGCGCGGGGCCUGGAUGUUCCCAGAGUCCAACAUGUCAUCCAUUACCAGGUCCCUCGCACCUCGGAGAUCUAUGUCCACCGAAGUGGUCGAACAGCUCGUGCCACUAAUGAAGGUCUCAGCCUGAUGCUGAUUGGGCCUGAGGAUGUGAUCAACUUUAAGAAGAUUUACAAAACCCUCAAGAAAGAUGAGGACAUUCCACUGUUUCCUGUGCAGACAAAGUACAUGGACGCGGUCAAGGAACGAAUCCAUUUAGCUCGACAGAUUGAGAAAGCGGAGUAUCGGAACUUCCAGGCUUGUCUGCACAACUCUUGGAUUGAACAGGCAGCAGCUGCCCUUGAGAUUGAGCUGGAAGAAGACAUGUAUAAGGGAAGAAAAACUGACCAAGAAGAGCGUAGGAGACAAAAGCAGAUGAAGGUCCUGAAGAAGGAGCUGCGCCAAUUACUCUCCCAGCCAUUGUUCAAAGAGGACCUGAAAACAAAGUAUCCAACUCAGUCUGGCAAGCUGCCCACGCUCAUGUCUACCCCAAGAAACAGUGAGUCGGCCUUGAGCUGCCUCACCAAACAGAAGAAGAAGCAGAAGAAGCCGCCAAAAGAGCAGCAGCAGGAACAACCACAGCCAAGUACAAGUGCAAAUUAACUGCACUCCAGGGCGAUGUUCAGUGCCUGAGACAGGGCUGUGAUCUGGAUGUGGUCACACUCCAUGGCCAUGGGCUCCACUUCCUGCAAAGGCCAGAAUGAAAAAACAAACCCAGUUUAGGAAGGAGGCCUGGCAGAAGACAAAUGAAGUCCAGCCCUGGCUUUCACGGCCCUGGGUCAAAGGAUCUGUGCUGGGAAAUAAUCUUCACAAUAGCUCAUCAGUCCCAGGAGCUGGGUAUUACACAGCAGGUCCCAGGGCUGGGGGCUAAGUCCCCAAAGCUUGAGACCCUGAGGACCUACAUGAGUACAGAAGUCCUUGAUGUCCAUCUCCUCAUCAAUGAAGUGUUGGAAGAAUUCCGCGCGGUUCUUGAUGAAGGCUGAGGUGAGCAGGCGCAAAAACUGCACGAUUUGGUCCGAGGCGCUCUGGUCGUUGAACACCUUCAGCAGGCUGGACACUGACCCGUCCUUCUCUACCAGCUCUACCACACUGUAAAACUGCACCCCGCUGGGCUGUCAGUCGGGGGGCACAGGCAAGACCUACCCUCCCCCAUGGGACUCUUUCCACAGGACCCUCCCCCACCAUGUGUAUUUCCAUUUUGAAAUCCUCAAAUUGAGUUACCAAAAUAAGUCAAUCUGGGACCAAGCUAAGUAGAGGGUUAGAAAUGCUCUGCAAUGCAUACCUUAGCCCAGAGUCCUGUCUAGGGAACGGCAGUUGGGUUUCCUCCCAUCACUGUGGUUAUUGGGAUUCUUAUCUAUAGAUUCAGAACUGAAUCCUCCAACCCCACGCCCCCUUCACUAAGGGGAUCAGGGUUGUAGGGUGGAGAGGGGACAUCUGAAGGAGGCUGGGGGAUGUUUCCAGCCUGAGAGCUACUGCCCCAAAGGAGGUGCCUCUUCCCUGUGGGAGGGCAGGGCCCUGGGCUCCUUGUCCCCACACAGAGGAAGCAGCUGUCCUUCCCCAGAUGGGAGGAGCAAGGACAUAACCGCAGAGCCACGGGCUGUGAGGGGGCUCCAGCCAGUGCCCAUUCCUGCCUGCUCUGCCAGCAUGGAAGGACCUGGACCCUCAGCUGUCCUGCCCAGGUUAACUUACAGCAUUAAAGAAGUUUCGGAACUUGUGCUCCUCAAAACCAGCAGCCAGAAGGUCAUUUGGGGUCUGCAGGACACGUUCUUUGAACCUAAAGGAGGUAGACUGAUGGCUCAUGGGGAAAUGCUGAUGGAGCACUGCUGUACAGUCAGUGUCCUCAUGCUCUCACCCACUGCCCCCAACAACUGAGGAGGGGUGUGUCACUAACAGGUGACUGACUUCUGUCCUCCCCAGUGUGUACAAUCCCAGGAAGGGGGUGUAACACCCAUUUCACAGAUUAGGAGACUGAGGUAGUCACCACCUACUCCCAGACAUGUUGAUUCUACCUUUCAAAGCUUUCUGAACUCUGUCCCUCCUUCCUGUCCCCAUGGUUCUUGCCAUAUGACCACCAUCUCUGGCCAGGGCCAUGCCCAACCUUCCCGUGCUCCCAGUCCCUUCUCCACGGGGACCUCCGGAGUGACCCAGCACAGCCUUCUCCCUCAGGACACAGCUCCUCAGCACGAACAUCUAAGGGAGGACCCCAGCCUAGCUCCCCAACCUCCUCUCCCUUCGCAGCCUCCCUCCCACCCCAGGGCCACUCCCCAUUUGCAUGUCACUCCUUAGCACCCUGUCCCAUCAACCAGCGGCCUGUACCUACUCACAGGAGCUAAUUGUUCAGUUUUCAAGAUUUGACCAGCUGGGUAUUAAACAUAGCCACCACCUGAACUAUACUCCAACAGAAAGAUAUAUAUCCA
Non-coding RNA from Callorhinus ursinus (northern fur seal), 4565 nucleotides. The record is from RefSeq and is a predicted model, not a curated record. Lineage: Eukaryota; Metazoa; Chordata; Mammalia; Carnivora; Otariidae.